AACGAACGCUGGCGGCAUGCCUAAUACAUGCAAGUCGAACGAGAUCUUCGGAUCUAGUGGCGCACGGGUGCGUAACGAGUGGGAAUCUGCACUUGGGUUCGGUAUAACUUCUGGAAACGGAAGCUAAUACAGGAUGAUGACGUAAGUCCAAAGAUUUAUCGCUCAAGGAUGAGCCCGCGUAGGAUUAGGUAGUUGGUGAGGUAAAGGCUCACCAAGCCGACGAUCCUUAGCUGGUCUGAGAGGAGGAUCAGCCACACUGGGACUGAGACACGGCCCAGACUCCGACGGGAGGCAGCAGUAGGGAGUAUUGGACAAUGGGCGAAAGCCUGGUCCAGCAAUGCCGCGGGAGUGAGGAAGGCCGUAGGAUUGUAAAGCUCUUUUACCCGGGAUGAUAAUGACAGUACCGGGAGAAUAAGCUCCGGCUAACUCCGUG
RNAcentral lists this ribosomal RNA (433 nucleotides) under uncultured bacterium. Its description in RNAcentral is "partial 16S ribosomal RNA". It matches the Rfam family "Bacterial small subunit ribosomal RNA", at positions 29 to 507 of the family's 1533-position model. The record is from RNAcentral.